Molecule: ribosomal RNA, 1087 nt
Filed under: Aspergillus sojae
Lineage: Eukaryota; Fungi; Ascomycota; Eurotiomycetes; Eurotiales; Aspergillaceae
Description: SSU rRNA
Rfam family: Eukaryotic small subunit ribosomal RNA
Source: RNAcentral
CAAGAUUAACCAUGCAUGUCUAAGUAUAAGCACUUUAUACUGUGAAACUGCGAAUGGCUCAUUAAAUCAGUUAUCGUUUAUUUGAUAGUACCUUACUACAUGGAUACCUGUGGUAAUUCUAGAGCUAAUACAUGCUAAAAACCUCGACUUCGGAAGGGGUGUAUUUAUUAGAUAAAAAACCAAUGCCCUUCGGGGCUCCUUGGUGAUUCAUAAUAACUUAACGAAUCGCAUGGCCUUGCGCCGGCGAUGGUUCAUUCAAAUUUCUGCCCUAUCAACUUUCGAUGGUAGGAUAGUGGCCUACCAUGGUGGCAACGGGUAACGGGGAAUUAGGGUUCGAUUCCGGAGAGGGAGCCUGAGAAACGGCUACCACAUCCAAGGAAGGCAGCAGGCGCGCAAAUUACCCAAUCCCGACACGGGGAGGUAGUGACAAUAAAUACUGAUACGGGGCUCUUUUGGGUCUCGUAAUUGGAAUGAGUACAAUCUAAAUCCCUUAACGAGGAACAAUUGGAGGGCAAGUCUGGUGCCAGCAGCCGCGGUAAUUCCAGCUCCAAUAGCGUAUAUUAAAGUUGUUGCAGUUAAAAAGCUCGUAGUUGAACCUUGGGUCUGGCUGGCCGGUCCGCCUCACCGCGAGUACUGGUCCGGCUGGACCUUUCCUUCUGGGGAACCUCAUGGCCUUCACUGGCUGUGGGGGGAACCAGGACUUUUACUGUGAAAAAAUUAGAGUGUUCAAAGCAGGCCUUUGCUCGAAUACAUUAGCAUGGAAUAAUAGAAUAGGACGUGCGGUUCUAUUUUGUUGGUUUCUAGGACCGCCGUAAUGAUUAAUAGGGAUAGUCGGGGGCGUCAGUAUUCAGCUGUCAGAGGUGAAAUUCUUGGAUUUGCUGAAGACUAACUACUGCGAAAGCAUUCGCCAAGGAUGUUUUCAUUAAUCAGGGAACGAAAGUUAGGGGAUCGAAGACGAUCAGAUACCGUCGUAGUCUUAACCAUAAACUAUGCCGACUAGGGAUCGGGCGGUGUUUCUAUGAUGACCCGCUCGGCACCUUACGAGAAAUCAAAGUUUGUGGGUUCUUGCGGCGGCACGUAUGUCCCC